Molecule: unclassified non-coding RNA, 307 nt
Filed under: plant metagenome
Description: partial contains 5.8S ribosomal RNA, internal transcribed spacer 2, and large subunit ribosomal RNA
Rfam family: 5.8S ribosomal RNA (bases 1-105)
Source: RNAcentral
GAAAUGCGAUAAGUAGUGUGAAUUGCAGAAUUCAGUGAAUCAUCGAAUCUUUGAACGCACAUUGCGCCCCUCGGUAUUCCGUGUGUCAUGCCUGUUCGAGCGUCAUCUACACCCUCAAGCUCUGCUUGGUGUUGGGCGUCUGUCCCGCCUCCGCGCGCGGACUCGCCCCAAAUGCAUUGGCAGCGGUUCCUUGCCCCCCUCUUUGCGCAGCACAUUGCCAUUCGAGGCGGCGGCGGCCUGCGUCCAACCAGCUCAACCCCCCCGUCUUUGACCUCGGAUCAGGUAGGGAUACCCGCUGAACUUAAGC